GUAUUUAGCCGGUGCUUCCUCUACAGGUACCGUCAGAUCUUCGUCCCUGUUGACAGUGCUUUACAAUCCUAAGACCUUCAUCACACACUCGGUAUUGCUCCGUCACGCUUUCGCGCAUUGCGGAAGAUUCUCG
This 133-nucleotide ribosomal RNA is filed under the name uncultured bacterium. RNAcentral describes it as "partial 16S ribosomal RNA". The record is from RNAcentral.